AUGGAGGCCAAGCUGCUGCUCCUCUCCUUCCCCUCCCCGCCGGCCGCCCCCCACCACCCGCCGCCCCCCAAAUCCCUAUUCCUCGGCGCCUCCCUCCCGCUCCACCCGCUGGCCGCCGCCCCGCCGCCGCUGCGCACCCGGCCCCGGCUGGCCGUCGUGGCGCAGGCGGCCGCCGUGAAGCGCCGAAAGGAGGUGCCUUUCGACAACGUGAUCCAGCGGGACAAGAAGCUGAAGCUGGUCCUCAAGCUGCGCAACAUCCUCGUCUCCCACCCGGACCGCGUCAUGAGCCUGCGGGACCUCGGCCGCUUCCGCCGCGACCUCGGGCUCACCCGCAAGCGCCGCCUCAUCGCGCUCCUCAAGCGCUUCCCGGGCGUCUUCGAGAUCGUGGAGGAGGGCGUCUACUCGCUGCGGUUCCGCCUCACCCCCGCCGCCGAGCGCCUCUACCUCGACGAGCUCUACCUCCGCAACGAGUCCGAGGGCCUCGCCGUUGCCAAGCUCCGCAAGCUGCUCAUGAUGUCGCUCGACCGCCGCAUCCUCAUCGAGCGGAUCGCGCACCUCAAGAACGACCUCGGCCUGCCCUCCAACUUCCACGACAGCAUCUGCCUCAGGUACCCGCAGUACUUCCGCGUCGUCAGGAUGGACAGAGGCCCCGCGCUGGAGCUCACGGAAUGGGACCCCGACCUGGCCGUGUCGGCCGCCGAGAUGGCGGAGGAGGAGAAUCGGGCCAGGGAGGCCGAGGAGAGGAAUCUUAUCAUCGACCGGCCGCUCAGGUUCAACCGCGUGAAGCUGCCCAAGGGCCUGAAGGUGUCGAGGGGAGAGGCGCGGAGGAUUGAGAAAUUCAGGGAAAUGCCGUACAUUUCGCCGUACGCCGACUUCUCGCACCUGCCGUCGGGGUCCCCUGAGAAGGAGAAGCAUGCCUGUGGGGUGGUUCAUGAAAUUCUAAGCCUGACACUUGAGAAGCGCACCCUGGUUGACCACCUGACACACUUCCGGGAGGAGUUCCGGUUCUCGCAGUCUCUGCGGGGAAUGCUCAUCCGGCACCCUGACAUGUUCUAUGUGUCACUCAAGGGAGAUAGGGACUCGGUGUUCCUCCGUGAGGCGUACAAGAACUCGCAGCUGAUCGAGAAGAGCCAUCUGGUGUUGCUUAAGGAGAAGAUGAGGGCUCUUGUUGCAGUUCCACGCUUCCCUCGGCGUGGUGGGCCUAGGACUGGUGAAGAGACAGAGGGGCCCAAUGGCGCUGCGCAAGGGUAUAAUGAAGGAAGUGACAUGGAAGAUGAUGAAGACGAUGAUUUUUCGGACAUGGAAGAUUUGAUUGGGGAACUUGGUGGCAAAUCUGACAACAGCGGCUACCGCUGGGGUGAUGGCUGGGUUGGCGAGAGUGAUGGCUCGCCACCGGACUUCGGAGAUGGUGAUGACUCAGGUCCACAAGAAAUCGAGGUACCUAAGUCAAAGAGUAAUACAACCAAUGAUGCCGACGACGACUCGUCUGUUCCUUUAUUUCCUGACGGCAGACAACGGGAACGGUGGUAA
This 1530-nucleotide ribosomal RNA is filed under the name Triticum aestivum (bread wheat). RNAcentral's name for it is "partial small subunit ribosomal RNA". Lineage: Eukaryota; Viridiplantae; Streptophyta; Magnoliopsida; Poales; Poaceae. The record is from RNAcentral.